Molecule: ribosomal RNA, 492 nt
Filed under: uncultured bacterium
Lineage: Bacteria
Description: partial 16S ribosomal RNA
Rfam family: Bacterial small subunit ribosomal RNA
Source: RNAcentral
AGUGAACGCUGGCGGUAGGCCUAACACAUGCAAGUCGAACGGCAGCACAGUAAGAGCUUGCUCUUACGGGUGGCGAGUGGCGGACGGGUGAGGAAUACAUCGGAAUCUACUUUUUCGUGGGGGAUAACGUAGGGAAACUUACGCUAAUACCGCAUACGACCUACGGGUGAAAGCAGGGGAUCUUCGGACCUUGCGCGAUUGGAUGGGCCGAUGUCGGAUUAGCUAGUUGGCGGGGUAAAGGCCCACCAAGGCGACGAUCCGUAGCUGGUCUGAGAGGAUGAUCAGCCACACUGGAACUGAGACACGGUCCAGACUCCUACGGGAGGCAGCAGUGGGGAAUAUUGGACAAUGGGCGCAAGCCUGAUCCAGCCAUACCGCGUGGGUGAAGAAGGCCUUCGGGUUGUAAAGCCCUUUUGUUGGGAAAGAAAAGCAGCAGGUUAAUACCCCGCUGUUCUGACGGUACCCAAAGAAUAAGCACCGGCUAACUUCGUG